Molecule: transfer RNA, 76 nt
Filed under: Candidatus Roizmanbacteria bacterium RIFCSPHIGHO2_01_FULL_38_15
Lineage: Bacteria; Candidatus Roizmaniibacteriota
Also listed under: 2 other names
Description: tRNA-Lys
Rfam family: tRNA
About the family: Transfer RNA (tRNA) molecules are approximately 80 nucleotides in length. Their secondary structure includes four short double-helical elements and three loops (D, anti-codon, and T loops).
Source: RNAcentral
GGAUCCGUAGCUCAAUUGGUAGAGCAGCGCCCUCUUAAGGCGUUGGUUGUGGGUUCGAGUCCCACCGGAUUCACAA